AAUUUAUAUACAUAAGAUCUAAUCUAGAUUAUCAUGUCAAGAUCUCUAAUAUGAUUUAACAUAUACUUUAAGAUCUAAAAAUAAAAACUGCAUCGAUCUAAUCAAUGCUACAAUCUAGAUCUAACCCUUAGAUCUAUCACAAACAAUGAAAUAAGUUCGGGAACCAUUACCGAACUGUAAGCUGAUGAUCUUUAUUGGUCCAACACUUGAAAAGGCUUCAGAUUGCUCAUAGCUACACAAAGACGUCUGGCCUCUACAGAACAUCCACACGAAGACUGACGC
RNAcentral lists this long non-coding RNA (282 nucleotides) under Elaeis guineensis (African oil palm). RNAcentral describes it as "long non-coding RNA (EGUI_LNC063679)". The record is from RNAcentral. Lineage: Eukaryota; Viridiplantae; Streptophyta; Magnoliopsida; Arecales; Arecaceae.